GACGAACGCUGGCGGCGUGCUUAACACAUGCAAGUCGAACGGAAAGACCCUGCUUUUGUGGGGUGCUCGAGUGGCGAACGGGUGAGUAACACGUGAGUAACCUGCCCUUGACUUUGGGAUAACUUCAGGAAACUGGGGCUAAUACCGGAUAGGAGCUCCUGCUGCAUGGUGGGGGUUGGAAAGUUUCGGCGGUUGGGGAUGGACUCGCGGCUUAUCAGCUUGUUGGUGGGGUAGUGGCUUACCAAGGCUUUGACGGGUAGCCGGCCUGAGAGGGUGACCGGCCACAUUGGGACUGAGAUACCGCCCCGACUCCUACGGGAGGCAGCAGUGGGGAAUAUUGCCCCAUGGGCGGAAGCCUGAUGCAGCAACGCCGCGUGCGGGAUGACGGCCUUCGGGUUGUAAACCGCUUUCGCCUGUGACGAAGCGUGAGUGACGGUAAUGGGUAAAGAAGCACCGGCUAACUACGUG
Molecule: ribosomal RNA, 468 nt
Filed under: uncultured bacterium
Lineage: Bacteria
Description: partial 16S ribosomal RNA
Rfam family: Bacterial small subunit ribosomal RNA
Source: RNAcentral